Molecule: ribosomal RNA, 507 nt
Filed under: uncultured Rikenellaceae bacterium
Lineage: Bacteria; Pseudomonadati; Bacteroidota; Bacteroidia; Bacteroidales; Rikenellaceae
Description: bacterial SSU rRNA
Rfam family: Bacterial small subunit ribosomal RNA
Source: RNAcentral
UGCGCCUUGCCAGGCCCGCUCAGAACUCAAAGGAAUUGACGGGGGCCCGCACAAGCGGAGGAACAUGUGGUUUAAUUCGAUGAUACGCGAGGAACCUUACCUGGGCUAGAACGCAUUCGGAAUCAGGCCGAAAGGCCUGCGCCAGCGAUGGCCGCUUGCGAGGUGCUGCAUGGUUGUCGUCAGCUCGUGCCGUGAGGUGUCGGGUUAAGUCCCAUAACGAGCGCAACCCCUACUGCUAGUUGCCAGCGGGUCAUGCCGGGGACUCUAGCGGAACUGCCAGCGUAAGCUGCGAGGAAGGUGGGGAUGACGUCAAAUCAGCACGGCCCUUACGUCCAGGGCUACACACGUGUUACAAUGGCCGGUACAGAGGGCAGCCACCCCGCGAGGGGGCGCGAAUCCCGAAAGCCGGUCCCAGUUCGGAUCGGAGUCUGCAACCCGACUCCGUGAAGCUGGAUUCGCUAGUAAUCGCGCAUCAGCCACGGCGCGGUGAAUACGUUCCCGGGCCUU